RNAcentral lists this ribosomal RNA (492 nucleotides) under uncultured bacterium. RNAcentral describes it as "partial 16S ribosomal RNA". It matches the Rfam family "Bacterial small subunit ribosomal RNA", at positions 29 to 507 of the family's 1533-position model. The record is from RNAcentral.
AGUGAACGCUGGCGGUAGGCCUAACACAUGCAAGUCGAACGGCAGCACAGUAAGGGUUUGCCCUACCGGGGGGGGAGGGGGGGCGGGGGGGGGAAAACACGGGAUUCUCUUUUUUGGUGGGGGUAAAGGUAGGGAAAUUUACGUUAAUACGGAAUAGGACCACGGGGGGAAAGCAGGGGAUCUUCGACCUUUGCGCGAUUGAUUGAGCCGAUGUCGGAUUAGCUAGUUGGCGGGGUAAAGGCCCACCAAGGCGACGAUCCGUAGCUGGUCUGAGAGGAUGAUCAGCCACACUGGAACUGAGACACGGUCCAGACUCCUACGGGAGGCAGCAGUGGGGAAUAUUGGACAAUGGGCGCAAGCCUGAUCCAGCCAUACCGCGUGGGUGAAGAAGGCCUUCGGGUUGUAAAGCCCUUUUGUUGGGAAAGAAAAGCAGCAGGUUAAUACCCCGCUGUUCUGACGGUACCCAAAGAAUAAGCACCGGCUAACUUCGUG